This 144-nucleotide small RNA is filed under the name Flavobacterium flevense. RNAcentral describes it as "Flavo-1 RNA". It matches the Rfam family "Flavo-1 RNA". The record is from RNAcentral. Lineage: Bacteria; Pseudomonadati; Bacteroidota; Flavobacteriia; Flavobacteriales; Flavobacteriaceae.
CCCUAGCUCUGACCGCAGAGGAACUCCUUAUUUUUUAGGCUUGUAUUUUUUUCUUGUGCCAAAAGAGCGACUUUAGGAGCUCCUUUUUGGCGCUUAGAAAAAACAAGACUAUAAAUAAGAGUGGAGCGAAGGGCGGGAAUUGGC